RNAcentral lists this ribosomal RNA (380 nucleotides) under uncultured eukaryote. Its description in RNAcentral is "partial 18S ribosomal RNA". It matches the Rfam family "Eukaryotic small subunit ribosomal RNA", at positions 592 to 976 of the family's 1831-position model. The record is from RNAcentral.
CAAUAGCGUAUAUUAAAGUUGUUGCAGUUAAAAAGCUCGUAGUUGGAUCUGUGGUGUGCGGUGGGCUCCGGGCACUUGUUGUCUGAGUAGCUCGCCGCUGCCAUCCUUGGGUGGAACCUGUGUGGCAUUAGGUUGCCGUGCAGGGGAUGCCCAUCGUUUACUGUGAAAAAAUUAGAGUGUUCAAAGCAGGCUUAUGCCGUUGAAUAUAUUAGCAUGGAAUAAUGAGAUAGGACUUUUUCGCUAUUUUGUUGGUUUGCGCGAAGAGGUAAUGAUUAAUAGGGACAGUUGGGGGUAUUCGUAUUCCAUUGUCAGAGGUGAAAUUCUUGGAUUUUUGGAAGACGAACUACUGCGAAAGCAUUUACCAAGGAUGUUUUCAUUAA